CAGGCCUGCAAUUUCUUAGACUAUUGAAUGGCCCUGGAGUCAGAUUGCUUGGGGUCAAAGGCCACUUUUACCACCUGCUGUGUGACCUUCAGCCCUUGAGCAAGUUAUUUAACUUCUCUGUGCCUCAGGGAGCUCAUAACAGCACUAUACUGUGGGGUGGUGCCAGAUCUGUCUCAUAGACCCUGGCCAACGGAUGAAAUGAGUUCUCAGACACAGGCAUACAGCAUAAGAGCAGCUGGGUGACUGCCUGGCUCAAGUGGCCAGAGAGCAGCCCCAAGAAGCUGGAGCUGCUUGCUUUUAUUCAGUGCAGGCACAAUGUGGAAAACCUGGAGCCGACACGACCUGCAGGUAACUGACAAUUACUGUGGCCAGGCACGGUGGCUCACGCCUCUAAUCCCAGCACUUUGGAAGGCUGAGGCAGGAGAAUUGCUUGAAUCCUGCCGGGGUAGAGGUUGCAGUGAGCAGAGACAGUGAUAC
RNAcentral lists this long non-coding RNA (477 nucleotides) under Homo sapiens (human). RNAcentral's name for it is "non-protein coding lnc-BLM-1:1". The record is from RNAcentral. Lineage: Eukaryota; Metazoa; Chordata; Mammalia; Primates; Hominidae.